Molecule: ribosomal RNA, 255 nt
Filed under: uncultured bacterium
Lineage: Bacteria
Description: partial 16S ribosomal RNA
Rfam family: Bacterial small subunit ribosomal RNA
Source: RNAcentral
UACGAAGGGGGCUAGCGUUGCUCGGAAUCACUGGGCGUAAAGCGCACGUAGGCGGAUUGCUAAGUCAGGGGUGAAAUCCUGGAGCUCAACUCCAGAACUGCCUUUGAUACUGGCGAUCUUGAGUCCGGGAGAGGUGAGUGGAACUGCGAGUGUAGAGGUGAAAUUCGUAGAUAUUCGGAAGAACACCAGUGGCGAAGGCGACUCACUGGCCCGUUACUGACGCUGAGGCGCGAAAAGCGUGGGGAGCAAACAGGG